CAGAGAUUAAGUGGCCUGUGAGCAGGUCCCAUGGAUGCAUGCCUGGGGGAGACGCGGAGACUGUGAAAUGCUCAGGAGCAAGGUUCGCCUCUCACUCGUCUUUGAUCCUCAGCACCUGGUCCAUCGUCUGGCUGGAUAAAGUAGACAUUUGCAAAGCGCUCCUGAAUGAAUGAGGGAGGCUUGGAAGCAGAUCCUAUAUCUGCCGGGCCAUUCAGGAAAAGAAAUUGCUUUCAUCUCAUGGAAGGACCAGCCCCACAGUGGGACUGGGCAGAGCCCUGUCGCCCAACCCUCAGCAAGCCCCUGAGCUGUCCCCACCAAGGACAAGCCACUGCCCGCGCUCCCUCCUGAGAUGUGCUGCUCUCCAGUCCUCUCCCGGCAGAUGUUCUGCAGAGGAAGCUGCCGUGUUCCACUUUCCUGCGGUGCCUUUGGCUCAGCCCUUUCCAGACGUGCUAACCGGAGGCUGCCAUCCACGGGGGCCUGUGCCUUUGAUCCUGUUCCCCUCUGCUCUUCCCGCUCUGCCAGGAUGCUCCCUGUAGAACUUGCGGUGGACAGUUCCAGGCACAUUCUUUUUCAUGUGACUCAUUACCUGAAUUGCCUCACUCUCUCCUUCAGUGCUGAUUGACUUUUCAAAGGCGACUGCAAUUGGCAUUUUUGCUCAUUUUACAGACAUCCAGAUGCAGGCAGUCUCCAGGGUCAUCAAUGCAGCUCCAUUAAAGGGCUCGAGUUGUUAACUACCAAGUAGCAGAUGCUCAUUUACAUAUUUUGCUGUGCAUUUUAAUGUAAUAUUUAAUUCUCAAAAAUAUAUGUUUCCCAGAGCUUUGAUUUACCCCUCACCAGACACAAUUCUCUUCUUAGGAUGUCAAUGCUCAGGUUAUAAUAUUAUGGCCAUAGGGUCAUGAACUCAGUGAUUUCUAAAAUCUGCCUGCACUCUCCAGUCUUCAAGUGGAGAACCUGACACUACAGAUUCUUGUGACCCCACUUCCUGGGUAAAAGACGGCGGGAAUGGGCUCGGGCAUGUGUAAUUUUCAGGAGCGCCUCAGUGGAUUUUAACUCAUGUCCGGGUUGGAGAGCUGCUGUUUGACAUGACACCAUCAGGGAAUGAGAUGUUCCCUAUUCAUGAAGUCCCCGGUAAAUAUAAUUUACAAAUUCAAGAAUCUAAUCAAUUUAACCAGUUAUGUCUUAUUGUUGUGA
Lemur catta (Ring-tailed lemur) is the source of this 1191-nucleotide long non-coding RNA. RefSeq lists it as uncharacterized. NCBI's taxonomy places the organism in Eukaryota, Metazoa, Chordata, Mammalia, Primates, Lemuridae. The record is from RefSeq and is a predicted model, not a curated record. The transcript is spliced from 3 exons.